AGGGGUAUAGCUCAGUUAGGUAGAGCGGCGGUCUCCAAAACCGUAGGUCGCAGGUUCAAAUCCUGCUGCCCCUGCCA
Molecule: transfer RNA, 77 nt
Filed under: Candidatus Tokpelaia sp. JSC085
Lineage: Bacteria; Pseudomonadati; Pseudomonadota; Alphaproteobacteria; Hyphomicrobiales
Description: tRNA-Trp
Rfam family: tRNA
About the family: Transfer RNA (tRNA) molecules are approximately 80 nucleotides in length.
Source: RNAcentral